GUUUACUCGAAGGAGUGGAUAAGUGAAAGAAAGGAUUCCACUGUAGAAAAAUAUCCCUAGGGGUAGGGAAGGGGAAAGGACGAGAAAGAAAGGGAAGAGAAAAAAAUCUCUACGGACAGAAGAGAAGACAGAGGGAGACGGCAGAGGGGGAGAAGACUGUUCACCUCCGAUAAAAUCUUCACACCGUUUCCACCUCCGCCUGCUGUCAACUUCCACGAGGAACAGAGCAAACUAUCUGCCAUUGUCUCCAUUGGAUUUUGCCUCUCGUCUGACUCUAUUUCUUCUAUAUUCUCUGAAGAGCUUGCCAACAAAAUGAGAGAUGGAUGAAAUCGAGUAGAUUAAUCUACGAUUAGAGCAAGCAGCUACGGCGGAUGUUGGUUCAGAAAUAGCUACGACGAAUGUUGUGCAAAGCUGGUGGAGCCGUCAGAGUCGUCGGAGGCUCGCGUGGUUGACGAAGGAAAGGCGUUCCAGCUUGUGGGCGAGCCCCCAGCAACCCUUCGGCUCACGAGCGAGCCCCUCGUCGCCCGUUUGCAAGCAAAAGAGCCCCUCACCGCCUGUCAGCUCACACACACAAGAUCAGGGCUUGAAGUGAGUAGGGAACUUGCGGGGGAGGAGGGAGUAGAGAGCGAGAUCGAUGAGGGGAUAUGAAGCCACUUUGAGCUUUGGGAGGCAGAACCAGAUUUGAAGUGUUUGAGAGACUUCCAUUGGAGUUGCUUUAUCGGUUGUUGCUUCUCCGUUAUGAAGUAGAUCUUGCCGGGGAAGGUGGCGGGCCUGGCGGCGGACAUGGAAGAGUAGUGCAAUACUAGGAUGGUAGUCUGUUGGCAUAUAGAGGCAGCGCACAAAGUUGAGGCAGAGUUGCAACGAAAGGCGGAUGGUUACUUUCCGUCCGAUUUUGAGAGGAUGAAAAACUGCCUUAAAAUGGAUCCAUUGAUUGUUUCGUCAACCAUCCAUCCAUUUUUUUAGAAGAUGUAAACAAGAGAAAGGAUGAAUAAUCCAUCCUCUUUGUGUAGUAAACAGUGAAAAAUUUUGCAUGCAGAAAACUUUCCUUUCUUUCA
Long non-coding RNA from Zingiber officinale, 1055 nucleotides. RefSeq lists it as uncharacterized. NCBI's taxonomy places the organism in Eukaryota, Viridiplantae, Streptophyta, Magnoliopsida, Zingiberales, Zingiberaceae. The transcript has 2 exons. The record is from RefSeq and is a predicted model, not a curated record.